This 287-nucleotide unclassified non-coding RNA is filed under the name uncultured Ascomycota. RNAcentral's name for it is "sequence contains ITS1". The stretch from base 1 to 106 matches the Rfam family "5.8S ribosomal RNA", at positions 50 to 154 of the family's 154-position model. The record is from RNAcentral. Lineage: Eukaryota; Fungi; Ascomycota.
AAAAUGCGAUAUCUAGUGUGAAUUGCAGAUUUACGUGAAUCAUCGAGUCUCUGAACGCAAAUUGCGCUCCACGGCUAUUCCGUGGAGCAUACCUGUUUGAGUCUCACCCUUUUUUUCUCCUAAGAAAGAUGCGCUUUUUACUGUUUCUUGCAGUUAGCGUUAAAAAUAAUAACAAACAGUGAUUCCUUAGGAAUAACCACACAGUGUGCUCAUACCACCUGAGUAUCUCCUAAAUCCCCACAACAAAAAAAGAGCUCAAAUCAGGCAGGACUACCCGCUGAACUUAA